This 496-nucleotide ribosomal RNA is filed under the name uncultured bacterium. Its description in RNAcentral is "partial 16S ribosomal RNA". It matches the Rfam family "Bacterial small subunit ribosomal RNA", at positions 28 to 506 of the family's 1533-position model. The record is from RNAcentral.
GACGAACGCUGGCGGCGUGCCUAAUACAUGCAAGUUGAGCGCUGAAGGUUGGUACUUGUACCGACUGGAUGAGCAGCGAACGGGUGAGUAACGCGUGGGGAAUCUGCCUUUGAGCGGGGGACAACAUUUGGAAACGAAUGCUAAUACCGCAUAAAAACUUUAAACACAAGUUUUAAGUUUGAAAGAUGCAAUUGCAUCACUCAAAGAUGAUCCCGCGUUGUAUUAGCUAGUUGGUGAGGUAAAGGCUCACCAAGGCGAUGAUACAUAGCCGACCUGAGAGGGGGGUCGCCGCCACUGGGACGCAGAGACGCGCCAAACACCUCCGGGGGGGACCGCAGGGGUAUCUUUGGCAAUUGAGACAAAUCUGACCCAGAGACGCGGCGUGAGUGAAGAGGGUUUUGGCAUCGCAAAACUCUGUUGGGAGAGAAAAACGUUUGGGUGAGAGGAAAGCGCUUCAAGUGACGGGGUAUCCCCCGAGAGGGGCGGCUAUCACCGC